Molecule: ribosomal RNA, 660 nt
Filed under: Micromonospora sp. I08A-00452
Lineage: Bacteria; Bacillati; Actinomycetota; Actinomycetes; Micromonosporales; Micromonosporaceae
Description: bacterial SSU rRNA
Rfam family: Bacterial small subunit ribosomal RNA
Source: RNAcentral
GCGGCGUGCUUACACAUGCAAGUCGAGCGGAAGGCCCUUCGGGGUACUCGAGCGGCGAACGGGUGAGUAACACGUGAGCAACCUGCCCUAGGCUUUGGGAUAACCCCGGGAAACCGGGGCUAAUACCGAAUAGGACCUCCGCCCGCAUGGGUGGGGGUGGAAAGUUUUUCGGCCUGGGAUGGGCUCGCGGCCUAUCAGCUUGUUGGUGGGGUGAUGGCCUACCAAGGCGACGACGGGUAGCCGGCCUGAGAGGGCGACCGGCCACACUGGGACUGAGACACGGCCCAGACUCCUACGGGAGGCAGCAGUGGGGAAUAUUGCACAAUGGGCGGAAGCCUGAUGCAGCGACGCCGCGUGAGGGAUGACGGCCUUCGGGUUGUAAACCUCUUUCAGCAGGGACGAAGCGUAAGUGACGGUACCUGCAGAAGAAGCGCCGGCCAACUACGUGCCAGCAGCCGCGGUAAGACGUAGGGCGCGAGCGUUGUCCGGAUUUAUUGGGCGUAAAGAGCUCGUAGGCGGCUUGUCGCGUCGACUGUGAAAACCCGCAGCUCAACUGCGGGCCUGCAGUCGAUACGGGCAGGCUAGAGUUCGGUAGGGGAGACUGGAAUUCCUGGUGUAGCGGUGAAAUGCGCAGAUAUCAGGAGGAACACCGGUGGCGAA